Molecule: ribosomal RNA, 405 nt
Filed under: uncultured bacterium
Lineage: Bacteria
Description: partial 16S ribosomal RNA
Rfam family: Bacterial small subunit ribosomal RNA
Source: RNAcentral
GAUGAACGCUGGCGGCGUGCCUAAUACAUGCAAGUCGAGCGCUGCGGGAACGGGUGAGUAACAGGUGGAUAAACUCCUUUACGACCGGGAUAACUUCGGGAAACCGGUGGUAAACCGGCUAUUUAUAUAUGGAUGCGCGCGGCAUUAGCUAGUUGGUAAGGUAACGGCUUAGCAAGGCCACGACGCGUAGCCGACCUGAGAGGGUGACCGGCCACACGGGGACUGAUACACUGUCCAGACUCCUACGGGAGGCAGCAGUAGGGAAUCUUCGGCAAUGGGCGAAAGCCUGACCGAGCAACGCCGCGUGAGUGAAGAAGGUCUUCGGAUCGUAAAACUCUGUUGUUAGAGAAGCGGUAUCUAACCAGAAAGCCACGGCUAACUACGUGCCAGCAGCCGCGGUAAUAC